UAGAUGCGAGAGUAGAGCAUAUCAAUAAGCGGAGGAAAAGAAACUAACAAGGAUUCCCUUAGUAACGGCGAGUGAAGCGGGAAGAGCUCAGAUUUGAAAUCUUCAAGGUUCUACCUUGACGAAUUGUAGUUUAUAGAAGUGUUUUCUGUUAGUGGAGUGGCAAAAGUUCUUUGGAAUAGGACAUCAUAGAGGGUGAGAAUCCCGUAUUUGGUCAUUCUUUCUAGCUUUGUGAUACACUUUCAACGAGUCGGAUUGUUUGGGAAUGCAGUCCAAAAUGGGUGGUAAAUUUCAUCUAAAGCUAAAUAUUGGCGAGAGACCGAUAGCGAACAAGUACCGUGAGGGAAAGAUGAAAAGAACUUUGAAAAGAGAGUUAAACAGUACGUGAAAUUGUCAAAAGGGAAGCGUUUGACACCAGUGUUGUUUUCUCGAAAAUCAAUUAAAAAUGGUGGGAUUUUGUGUUGUAUUGACUUUAUCAGCUUUCUGCACUUUUUUCUUGUCUUUUUUAAUGCACUUUUCGUUUAACAAGUCAACAUCAAUUUCUUUUGUUGUAAAAGAGUUAUUGGAAGGUGGCUUUCAUUUCGGUGAAAGUGUUUAUAGCCUUUGACUUCUGCAAUCGGAGAGAUUGAGGUCUGCAGCGUAGAUCCUUCGGGGUUAGAUACAUUUGUGCUAAGUUAUAGUUUUUCAUAGACAACAUGUUGACUAUGAUUAAUCAUGUAGCUUACUCGCUUAUGCUAUUUUACCUACGCUUAGGAUGUUGACGAGACUGUCGAUCUC
This 774-nucleotide ribosomal RNA is filed under the name uncultured Neocallimastigales. RNAcentral's name for it is "partial large subunit ribosomal RNA". It matches the Rfam family "Eukaryotic large subunit ribosomal RNA", at positions 22 to 646 of the family's 3401-position model. The record is from RNAcentral. Lineage: Eukaryota; Fungi; Neocallimastigomycota; Neocallimastigomycetes; Neocallimastigales.